AGCGAACGCUGGCGGCAGGCCUAACACAUGCAAGUCGAACGAACCUUCCGGGGUUAGUGGCGGACGGGUGAGUAACACGUGGGAACGUGCCUUUAGGUUCGGAAUAACUCAGGGUAAUUUGUGCUAAUACCGACUGUGCCCUUCGGGGGAAAGAUUUAUCGCCGUUGGUGCGGCCCGCGUCUGAUUAGCUGGUUGGUUGUGGUAGUGGCUCUCUAAGGCGACGAACAGUGGCUGGUCUGAGAGGAUGAUCAGCCACAUUGGGACUGAGACACGGCCCAAACACCAACGGAGGGCCGCAAUGGUGAUUCUUGCGCACUGGGCGAAAGCCGAACGCAGCCAUGCCGCGUGGAUGAUGAGGGUCUUAGGAUUGUAAACUUCUUUCUCCGGGGACGAUAAGAACGGAACCCGGGAAUGAGCCCCGGCCAACCUUGUG
RNAcentral lists this ribosomal RNA (433 nucleotides) under uncultured bacterium. RNAcentral describes it as "partial 16S ribosomal RNA". It matches the Rfam family "Bacterial small subunit ribosomal RNA", at positions 29 to 507 of the family's 1533-position model. The record is from RNAcentral.